CCUGAGGAUCUUGUUGAAAUACAGGUUCUAACUUUGGGCCUGGGAAUCUGCAUUUCUAACAAGCUCCCAGGUGAUGCCAA
This 80-nucleotide microRNA precursor is filed under the name Otolemur garnettii (small-eared galago). Its description in RNAcentral is "miRNA (ENSOGAG00000023415.1)". Lineage: Eukaryota; Metazoa; Chordata; Mammalia; Primates; Galagidae. The record is from RNAcentral.